AUGAUGGGAGGCGACUGGCGUAGGUGGGUUGACCACCGGGAAGCUGAACUAGGACGCAUCGACCGCCUGGGUGCUCCUC
This 79-nucleotide non-coding RNA is filed under the name Mycolicibacterium wolinskyi. RNAcentral describes it as "Mycobacterium wolinskyi ZTP sequence". It matches the Rfam family "ZMP/ZTP riboswitch aptamer (pfl RNA motif)". From Rfam's summary of the family: Previously known as pfl RNA. ZMP is also known as AICAR. Lineage: Bacteria; Bacillati; Actinomycetota; Actinomycetes; Mycobacteriales; Mycobacteriaceae. The record is from Rfam by way of RNAcentral.